CAGAGAAAGAUGCACACUGAUAUGAUGCUGGAGGACGUUCCUUGUCUCAUCUGGCAAAAAUUGUGACCAUUAAAAGCAAGAAAUGAUGUCCAGGCACGUUAUUUUCCUGGUGGACCAAUGUAGCUCUAAGAAAAUAGAAAAUUUCUUCAGGUGUGAACCCUGGGCAUCCACAUGUGAAACCUGGUAAUGAGCAGAGACUUCACACUGGAGAAGAGCCCCCUGAAUGUAACAAAUAUGAGGAGAUUUCACAUAGAACCCAACUUUCGCGCCACAUGAGUGACCUCUCACAAGACAGAAACCCUAUGCUUGCAAUCAAUUUGGAAGAGCCUUCAGCCUUUAUUCAUCAUUGAAUUAACAUAGGCUAAUUUAUACUGGAGUGAAACCAUGUAGGUCUCACCAAUGUGGGAAGGCUUGCAGGCAAUGCUGUAACCUUAGAUGACAUGAGAAAACUGACCCUGAAGUGAACCCCUAUAU
Physeter macrocephalus (sperm whale) is the source of this 474-nucleotide long non-coding RNA. RefSeq lists it as uncharacterized. Lineage: Eukaryota; Metazoa; Chordata; Mammalia; Artiodactyla; Physeteridae. The transcript has 3 exons. The record is from RefSeq and is a predicted model, not a curated record.